UUACGAAAAAGGCACACUUACUGAAAGGUAGGGUCGCAAAGUUAUGAGUCUACGGCAUAGUAAUAUGCUAAGAUUGUCAGACUACCGAA
This 89-nucleotide non-coding RNA is filed under the name Orenia metallireducens. RNAcentral's name for it is "c-di-GMP-I riboswitch aptamer". It matches the Rfam family "c-di-GMP-I riboswitch aptamer". Rfam says of the family: GEMM was predicted in a large-scale screen for bacterial structured RNA regulatory elements. Genes associated with GEMM are involved in a diverse array of functions, including chemotaxis regulation, signal transduction, secretion and chitin. The record is from Rfam by way of RNAcentral. RNAcentral also lists the same sequence under 1 other name. Lineage: Bacteria; Bacillati; Bacillota; Clostridia; Halanaerobiales; Halobacteroidaceae.